Molecule: ribosomal RNA, 245 nt
Filed under: uncultured Chloroflexota bacterium
Lineage: Bacteria; Bacillati; Chloroflexota
Description: uncultured Chloroflexi bacterium partial 16S ribosomal RNA
Rfam family: Bacterial small subunit ribosomal RNA
Source: RNAcentral
CAGCAACGCCGCGUGAGGGAUGAAGGCCUUCGGGUUGUAAACCUCUUUUYACAGGGAGAAAAAAGAUGACGGUACCUGCCCGAUAAGUCUCGGCUAACUACGUGCCAGCAGCCGCGGUAAUACGUAGGGGGCCAGCGUUAUCCGGAUUUAUUGGGCGUAAAAAGAGCAUAGGCGGUUUUUCAAGUCGGAUGUGAAAUCUCCCGGCUUAACCGGAAGGAGUCAUUCGAUACUGUUGGGCUUGAGUG